This 651-nucleotide unclassified non-coding RNA is filed under the name uncultured Prochlorococcus sp. Its description in RNAcentral is "partial may contain 16S ribosomal RNA, 16S-23S ribosomal RNA intergenic spacer, and 23S ribosomal RNA". The stretch from base 301 to 373 matches the Rfam family "tRNA". Lineage: Bacteria; Bacillati; Cyanobacteriota; Cyanophyceae; Synechococcales; Prochlorococcaceae. The record is from RNAcentral.
GUGGAGGAGGACGCCGAAGGUGGGGCUAAUGACUGGGGUGAAGUCGUAACAAGGUAGCCGUACCGGAAGGUGCGGCUGGAUCACCUCCUAACAGGGAGACAACAAAAUGUUUAUAUUAAUUUUGUCACCUUAGGUCGAUCGGUAUCUCACAUUCUUAAUUAAUUAAGAAUUUCUUUUUCUAAGUUUUUUCUAGGUCACACCCAUUACUUUUCCUGGGCCAUUAGCUCAGGUGGUUAGAGCGCACCCCUGAUAAGGGUGAGGUCCCUGGUUCAAGUCCAGGAUGGCCCAUAUCUCUAUGUUGGGGGUAUAGCUCAGUUGGUAGAGCGCCUGCUUUGCAAGCAGGAUGUCAGCGGUUCGAGUCCGCUUACCUCCACUGAUUACCACCUCUGUCAUGAUUUUCGGGAAACGUUUUGAGUUGUGAUCAAAAUCUGAAUGAAUCUAGCCUCCUAAUACAAUUAUUAAGAUGCUGGACUCAUUGAAUUAAUUUUCAUUGUUUUCAGAGAACCUUGACAACUGCAUAGAUUAUUUUUAAAGACAAUAAGCAUCUUUAAUGAUGCAGAUUUAUUAUUUGUGCGAAAGCAUUAAUAACAAUUCUAUUAAGCUGAUGCUUCAAAUAUUGAAGUUAUUGGUCAAGCUACAAAGGGCUCACGG